CCUACGGGAGGCAGCAGAGCUUCCCCUCUGGUCUUCCUCUACAGAGGAUGCAAGCGUUAUCCGGAAUGAUUGGGCCAGCAGCCGCGGUAUGUCGAGUGCGCGAUCAUGACAGGACUCAAGGAAGAAGCCCCGGCUAACUCCGUGCCAGCAGCCGCGGUAAUAGCUCCUCCUCUGGUCUUCCUCCAGCAGCCGCGGUAAU
RNAcentral lists this ribosomal RNA (199 nucleotides) under uncultured bacterium. RNAcentral's name for it is "partial 16S ribosomal RNA". The record is from RNAcentral.